AUUUGCAUAUUGCCCUUUUAUUAUAUAGAAUUGGAACAAUACAGAGAAGAUUCCAUGGCCCCUUUGCAAGGAUGACAUGCAAAUGCAUGAAGCGUUCCAUAUUUUU
Non-coding RNA from Myotis davidii, 106 nucleotides. The record is from Rfam. Lineage: Eukaryota; Metazoa; Chordata; Mammalia; Chiroptera; Vespertilionidae.